RNAcentral lists this long non-coding RNA (1007 nucleotides) under Homo sapiens (human). RNAcentral's name for it is "HSALNT0112032". The record is from RNAcentral. Lineage: Eukaryota; Metazoa; Chordata; Mammalia; Primates; Hominidae.
GGCUGUGGCCCAUCGCCCCAGUGCCUGAUUGGCAUCCUCUGCUUCUGCAGAAAACAUGGCUACCAACAGCUUCUGUAUCCACCUGCGGAGGAGACUGACUGCUCUGUUAUUCCCCCAGCAUCUGUGAAGAGGCUCUGACUGGCUAAAGUGAAGGAGUCUGUAGCUUUAGGGGAAGACAGAGCCACAAGAUGGAAGGAGCUUGGAUGUCUGAACUAUUCCAUGGAGAAAAGCUGCAGCCAACGAAGAACACCUGCAAUGGACUCUUAACCUGGGGGUGACGACAACCACUGAAAUAUGCUGCAUCUUAGUCCAGGGAUUUUUAAAGUGUGGUUCCUGGAAGAGCUGGAUCAGAGUCAUCUGUGUUGAUGGUUUAACAUAAAGAUUUUCGAGCCCCAAGACUCAAGUAGGACAAGGAAUUUGAAUUUUUAAGCAGCUCACCUGACUUGUCUGUCCUCUAAUGUCUGAAGACAUCUGACCUCUGCUCUUUCAGUAAAAGCAACAAUGGUUUUAUGAGCAUUGUCGUCACAUCUCUCCACUCAAGGGAUCCUUCUCAUUUCUCCCAGCUGAGGUCACCCACAGCUGCUGCUUCUAACUGCUGGCUUCCAGCCUGCUGUCUGCCAGCUGGCUCUACCCUCUCCUAUAACACGGCAGAGAGUAGCUGUGGUCUCCUGCGUGCUCACCCUCUGCUCCCUUGGUCCUGCUCCAUGCUUUGGUCCUGCACUUAAAUUUUACAAGCAUACUCUCUUUCUCUUAAGAUGAAGGAGCUGAGGCUGGAGAAGUUAAGAGACCCCUGCUAGAUAGGAAGGCACGUGAGAAGUAUACUGCUCUGUCUCCUGUGGAGUAAAAAGACUUUGGCGUUCUCAGAAGAAAACCAAAUGAGAUCACACGAAUGAGACUGCUGGAGCAAUCUAAUGCAAAUAUCUACUACAGAUUAUCAAAAGGAAAAAAAAAGGAGGUAAGUGAAAUUUAAGUAGAUCAUAUUUCAGGAGAGAAUUCAUAAAGUAGAA